Callithrix jacchus (white-tufted-ear marmoset) is the source of this 1770-nucleotide long non-coding RNA. The record is from Ensembl. NCBI's taxonomy places the organism in Eukaryota, Metazoa, Chordata, Mammalia, Primates, Cebidae.
GCAUAUGGUUGUUUUAACUGAUCACCCAAGUUGAUUAGACUGCCGUGUCCCAUGAAAAAAGAGGAUGCUCAGAAAGCCAGUGACUGGAUAAUAAUUUGAGGAUAAUACUCAAAUUUCUAGUAGUGCUAGUCAGUUGAACCUAAAAAUGCCAUUAACCCUUUCUCAAAGAAGCAGAUUGGAGGUGAGUAGCAGUUGUGUGGCUUCUUGGUAUGCAGCUGUUCACUUUCAAAACUUAAUUUAAAACAAUAAAAAAUGUACCUCGAAAUCAUUUUGUUUCCCUAUUUAUUUAAUGUGAUUUAUUCUAAAUGCAUUUCAUAUCACCAUAAUGUAUCAGAGCUCAACCACCACCUGUUAUUUUGUAGGGGAAAUAAACAAGACCUCUCUCAUCAGAUGAGUUAAUUACACUGACAUAUUCACUCCUCCCCAGAGAUACCAUAAACUAAAAUGCUGCAGAGCUUUAAUUCAAACAAGCAGGCUGGAAACAAGAGCUAUUGCAGUGGUAUAAUUUUCUUUGGGAGAAUCAAAAGCUCAACACAGACUUGAACUUAGAGGGCAAGAUAGCUGGAGUUGAUCAAAUGGAGUCUCGUUUAGGGUCGCAUAAUAAAUCUGUAGGUGAGUUGAGCUUGAACCCAUUUCUCAAUAUUUUGGCACUGUUUUCCAACCUUUGUGCUUCCGAACAUCAUGUGGUCAUUUUUAAAAACUUGUUUCAUCUAGCAGUUUCUCUCUCCUCUCAGGUAUUUGUCUGGGGAUGGCUGUGCAUACAGAACACCAUUAGCUCCAUGAAGAAUAUGACAGAGGUACCUGGUCCUACCUGGAUUCUUGGGCAUGCGGGAAGCAGCAGCAGUAGCCACAGUGAACUUCAUCCUAAGGAACUGUUAUGCAGACGUUGCAUGAGUCUCUUGUGGGGGUGCCAGCAGCAAAACCAAGCCUUUGUGCCUAUCUGUGGUUGUGACCCGUUGGAGAGACAUUGGGAGAUGAGAUACUGUGCUCACUCCUCACGGCUGAACCAAGGACCUGAGAUAUUCCAUUGCUAUCCUGUGAGUAAGUAAAUUUAAUACGUAGAAAGAACUGAGAACCAUAUUUUCUAAAAAGCACAAAGAGCAUGAUAUAGUCUUCAGGACUUUGUCAGGUUAUAGAGAAAUCAAACUGUUUUAUCUUACACCAAAGAGGGACACUGACUGCCUUGCUUAACCAAGCUAUGGAAGGCUGGGCUGGUUUUAGAUGUAAAUGGAUCUAGAGCUUUGGCCCAGUCUGACACUCACUGUGAGAGUCUUACCCUGUUUCUCUGACUGGCCUUGACUUCAGACCCAGAGCCAUCCCUGGACUCAUCGCUGUGGCCAAGGGAAAUGGCGGGACUACUGGUUCAGAUAGUGCCCACUCAAGUGGUCAGGAAGCGGGCAGGAGUGCUAUGACCAUCUCUCAUCACGGUGAGAUGGGAGAGUGGAGGAGGAGCCAUUUGCCCCAGAAAGGAGUAACUAUUCUGGACAGAAUGUAUAUGGCAAAGCCAUGGUUCUUCUACACCUUUGCAGAAAUGUAAACCUGAAUGUGGACAGGCAGAACAGUGAGUGUCAGGAAAUAGGCUUCAGUUUGAGAAAAUCUGUGGUUUAUUAGAAGCUGACAUCAGGUGAGUGCUGAUGCUUAAACCUCAAUAGCAAAUUUUGGGAACCCAGAGAAAGUAAGGUCAAAUCAGUAGAAUUCUGCUUUCCUGAGAGACACAGGGACUAAUCCAAUGAGUGAUGUUGAUAUAUUAGGAUUUUGGAGAUUCCCACC